Schizosaccharomyces pombe (fission yeast) is the source of this 497-nucleotide non-coding RNA. The record is from the annotation of a GenBank genome assembly. NCBI's taxonomy places the organism in Eukaryota, Fungi, Ascomycota, Schizosaccharomycetes, Schizosaccharomycetales, Schizosaccharomycetaceae.
UAAGAAUCCAUCACAAUAGCAAAUGGACAUGCGAUCCAACGACGAUGGGGCGGCAGUGUAUUGAUCACACAUCGCCAGAAAAACUCAUCUCUCGCUAACGUAAGCAGAUAAAACAAUGUCCUCAAUUCACUAAUGACUAUUCUUUAGCGAGAGUUGCGCUAGAUUGCCUAACACUUGGCGUACAAUAGGCGGAUUACCAAUGGAUAUCCCAUCGUAUGGCCAACAUUGGGCUCACAAUUCAAUUUAAAGGAUCGUAAGGAAUUGCAACAUAGUACAGGAAUAAGCAACGUACUUGAAGCUAUCGUACAGUAUCACCCGUAUAACAAAUGCUACUGAACGAUCGAUCAGCGAGGCAAGAAAGUGGAUUGAAAACUUGACUUGAAAUCGAUGAAAAGGCUUAUUCAAAAUAAAAAAAUUUUUUUUACGAUUUACAUAUGAGUCAAACGCAUAUCAAGUACUUACUUCCGUCUUUUCGUUAACAUUGCAUACUUCUUGGG